This is a long non-coding RNA of Mus musculus (house mouse), 851 nucleotides long. RefSeq annotates it as predicted gene, 39261. The transcript is spliced from 4 exons. Lineage: Eukaryota; Metazoa; Chordata; Mammalia; Rodentia; Muridae. The record is from RefSeq and is a predicted model, not a curated record.
UAAGUGGACCUCUUGGAGCCCCUGUAUUGGGCCCCUAAUGGGACCUUUGGGUAUGAUUCUCCUGACUCUGCUGUUUGCUAUAUAAACUUUCUCGCUUACUGUUAAUGCCACAGAGUGCGAAAAAGACCACUAUCACAUCUUUUGAGACAAAUCCGAAACAAGCUUUAUUAAAUACUGACCAGGACAAUGGACCCUAGCCGAGUCCACCCCUCAGAUUCACAGAGUAUGGUACACAUUAUGUUAGUCGGAAGCUCUGAACCGCAAACCCACAAAGCUACGUACUUCCACCCUUUGUUCGACCAGGGGCAAGCGUAUAUCUUGACGUACUUCCUCCCUAUGUAACUCUGGCUACUUGUGAGCAAGCGCAUCUUGUGCUGUCGGGGCAACCAAACUUGUUUACAGAAAUGGAAACACCCGGGGCUUGUUACCUUACUUGAACAACACCUCCAGCAUCCCAGGAAGUUAUCUGUCCUUGGGCAAGUGAGGCUUACAGUUCCUGCUACAGGAUCAAGACAAAGAGGAGAGAACGUGGUGGAAAUCCUCCAAACUUCCAUGUGUUAGGAAACGGAAAUCCCCUGGUCGUCAGCCUGUUCUCUGCUCCAUUUGCAGGAUCUCCAGAGCUGGAGGCUCUGGGGAGGUGGAGCUCUGGGAGACACUUCGGAUAGUUUCUCAUUGGUGCCCCCGUAUACCGGAAACCCAGUCAGCAGCUCCUCGGAAUGUGACUUCUUCUUACGGCAAUGUCUCUGGAGAGAUCACUAAGGCCCAUUUGUCUCUUCACUACAGGUAUUCAAGAUUUAAGAUUAUUACAUUGGGCUGGAGAGAUGACUCAGUGAUUAAGAGCACGGACUGCG